GACGUAGGGCGCAAGCGUUGUCCGGAUUUAUUGGGCGUAAAGAGCUCGUAGGCGGCUUGUUGCGUCGUCCGUGAAAACCUGUGGCUCAACUACAGGCUUGCGGUCGAUACGGGCGGGCUGGAGUUCGGUAGGGGAGACUGGAAUUCCUGGUGUAGCGGUGAAAUGCGCAGAUAUCAGGAGGAACACCGGUGGCGAAGGCGGAUCUCUGGGCCUUACCUGACGCUCAGGUGCGAAAGCUAGGGGAGCGAACAGG
Molecule: ribosomal RNA, 253 nt
Filed under: uncultured bacterium
Lineage: Bacteria
Description: partial 16S ribosomal RNA
Rfam family: Bacterial small subunit ribosomal RNA
Source: RNAcentral